Molecule: ribosomal RNA, 253 nt
Filed under: uncultured bacterium
Lineage: Bacteria
Description: partial 16S ribosomal RNA
Rfam family: Bacterial small subunit ribosomal RNA
Source: RNAcentral
UACAGAGGUCUCAAGCGUUGUUCGGAAUCACUGGGCGUAAAGGGUGCGUAGGCGGCGCGGCAAGUCAGAUGUGGAAUCCAUGGGCUCAACCCGUGAAUUGCAUCCGAUACUUCCGUGCUUGAGGGCUGGAGAGGAGUUUGGAAUUCUCGGUGUAGCAGUGAAAUGCGUAGAUAUCGAGAGGAACGCCAACGGCGAAAGCAAAACUCUGGACAGCAACUGACGCUGAUGCACGAAGGCCAAGGGAGCAAACGGG